Long non-coding RNA from Oncorhynchus mykiss (rainbow trout), 803 nucleotides. RefSeq lists it as uncharacterized. The record is from RefSeq and is a predicted model, not a curated record. NCBI's taxonomy places the organism in Eukaryota, Metazoa, Chordata, Actinopteri, Salmoniformes, Salmonidae.
ACGUUUGUCUACGUCAGAACUAUGCGGCGCUUCAAAUAUACCGCAGGCUUGCAUGACAUAUUGGUGAAGGUCUUGUUCAUUUUUUGUCUCGACCCCUACAGUAUGCACUUCAGCAGUAAGUAAGUUUUUUCGGCCCUGUACUCCCGACAAAGGAUAAUUUAAUUUGGAUAAUUUCGGCAGCUGAUGGCCAAAGAACCUCUGGAAAAGCUAUGGUUCAAAGACCUGAUGGACAAACCCAGCCAGGAGGCACAAGGAGGCCAGACCCUGAACUUCCCUUCCUAUACAGAUGGAUAAGAUCAUUGUUGUCAUGUUUUAUUUUUUUGUACCUUUAAGUGCUGCAGUGAUAUACUAAACAUGAGAUAGUGUCCCCUCUUCCUCUCCAUGUGUAUACAAUUAAAAUGCAAUAUUGUGGACGGCGUUUCAAGCUUCGUAUAAAUAUUUAGGUAAAUGAACCAUGCCUUUUUUUGUGUGUGGGUUUGAUGUUGGAUAUAGAUUGACAGUAAAACAGUUAUUUGAGGUGGCUUUACAGUUCCCUCCGGAAGUGCUGUUUCACGCUUGUGUGCAUGCACAUGGUACACAAAACAUCUUCUCUCAGUCUAGCCAGCCUACACUUCUGCAUACUGAUUGAGGUAACAUGCUCUGAGGCUUGUAUCAAGUUUAGCAAAGUGCCUAACUACUCGAGGCACUAUGGAAUGUAACAUGGUGUGAUUGAGCCUGAUGAAAACAAGUCAACUUUAUUAAAACAUCAGGCAGCACAUGUCAAGCUGGCUCAACUAAAGAGUUGUAACAGUUGCAUAUUAAAA